CUUGCUUCUCUUGAGAGCGGCGGACGGGUGAGUAAUGCCUAGGAAUCUGCCUGGUAGUGGGGGAUAACGUUCGGAAACGGACGCUAAUACCGCAUACGUCCUACGGGAGAAAGCAGGGGACCUUCGGGCCUUGCGCUAUCAGAUGAGCCUAGGUCGGAUUAGCUAGUUGGUGGGGUAAUGGCUCACCAAGGCGACGAUCCGUAACUGGUCUGAGAGGAUGAUCAGUCACACUGGAACUGAGACACGGUCCAGACUCCUACGGGAGGCAGCAGUGGGGAAUAUUGGACAAUGGGCGAAAGCCUGAUCCAGCCAUGCCGCGUGUGUGAAGAAGGUCUUCGGAUUGUAAAGCACUUUAAGUUGGGAGGAAGGGUUGUAGAUUAAUACUCUGCAAUUUUGACGUUACCGACAGAAUAAGCACCGGCUAACUCUGUGCCAGCAGCCGCGGUAAUACAGAGGGUGCAAGCGUUAAUCGGAAUUACUGGGCGUAAAGCGCGCGUAGGUGGUUUGUUAAGUUGGAUGUGAAAUCCCCGGGCUCAACCUGGGAACUGCAUUCAAAACUGACUGACUAGAGUAUGGUAGAGGGUGGUGGAAUUUGCCUGUGUAGCGGUGAAAUGCGUAGAUAUAGGAAGGAACACCAGUGGC
Molecule: ribosomal RNA, 642 nt
Filed under: uncultured bacterium
Lineage: Bacteria
Description: bacterial SSU rRNA
Rfam family: Bacterial small subunit ribosomal RNA
Source: RNAcentral